CACACCGCCCGUCACACCAUGAAAGUCGGUUUUACCAGAAGUCGCUGCGCUAACUUCGGAGGCAGGCGCCCAAGGUAUGAUCGAUGAUUGGGGUG
Molecule: ribosomal RNA, 95 nt
Filed under: uncultured bacterium
Lineage: Bacteria
Description: partial 16S ribosomal RNA
Rfam family: Bacterial small subunit ribosomal RNA
Source: RNAcentral